AAAUCCUAAUAUGAAAGCAUGAUUAAGCCACUUACAAGUAGUGCACAAAUUAUUUCUAAGCAGGAUUAGGCUUUUAUUUCUUUUUUGGCUAAAAACGGUGAACUCGGAAAAUAUUUGUCUGCAUACACAAACAAAUACAAAUUUAACCUGGAUUUAUUUUUAUUUGAAAGAUGAAUUUACAGGAAGAGAAGAGGUCUUCAAUCAUCUGGUUCACUCAUAAAAUGGCUGCAAAGACUGGAGCUGGGCCAGUCCAGAGCUGGAAGUCUGAAGCUGCUUUUGGGUCACCCUUACGGGUGCUGGGGCCCAAGGAUCUGGGCCAUCUUUCAUUGAUUUUCCAGUUCCAACAGCAGGGAACUGGGUCAGCAAUGGGACAACAAGGACUCGAACCGGUGUCCAUAAGGGAUGCUGGCACUGUAGGCAGAUGCUUAAUGCACUGAGCCAUAAAUCACUGGCCCAAAGAUGUUUGAGUUUUUACAUAAAAGUAUAACAAGGAAGAAACUCUGUUUUUAGACAGUAAUAUUUCCAUUCAUUUAAUAAGUGCUGAUUAAGUGCGUUGCUUGUGAGGACAAAACUCUUCCAAAUGUCUGAAUCCCAGUUUCCACUUUCACACUUCUAGAGCAGAUGUCAUCCAAGAUCCUUACCCUUGGGAUUGGAUAGACGUGGGCUGAGAUGUGUGCCAGACCUCUUACCCAACCUUGAGGACAUAUGUGAGCACUUGGAUUGUUUUAGACCAACUUCUGUAAAUGAAUGUUCUGGAAAACUUGGUUUUCAUUGAAACAACAUGUUACUCGGUGAGCUGCAGUGCUGUAGGUGUAGAACAGCUAGCAGAUGUGGUUCUGGCCUUCGCAAAGUCUAUAUAAAGCUAGUUUUGGGAUUCGAGUUCUUUGUCUUUUUACAUUGUUAACUCCACUACCGUCACUACCAUGGAGAUGUUUUUUAGAAAUAUAAGAUGGCUGAAACUGUCAAAAGAGGUUUAAGGAAGCCCAACAGCAGCAUGGGUAUUUUAGGGAAAUAAGAAAGGGUGGUAAUGUGAGAAACCAUUGAGGGAUGGAGGACAUCCUCUGGGGAUAGGAGAGCCGGUGUUGGGCUUCUUUCUCCAAGCACAUACCACACUGAGCACUGUAGCAGGUUCAGUUUGCGGGUUUCAGGAAAGGACCAGAAUCUCGCAUUGUGAACAGAACUGAAAGAGGCUACCAGCCCCCAGCUUCCUGCUCUCUUUCCCAGUUCCUCUCUGCGGCCACUCCCAACACAGCUCUUUCAGGCAGCUUUUGCUUUUUGCUUUCUUCUUCUUCUUUUUUUUCCCCCAGUGUUGUUGAUUAAAAAACAAAACAACAACAAAACAUUUUUUUUUGAAAGAAUGACAGAGAAAGUAAGAUACCUUCCAUCUCUUGCUUCAUUCUCUCAAUACAGUAACAGCAAGGGCUGGGGCCAGCCCAAGCCAGGAGGGAUGAACUCGGUUUCCCACAUUGCUGGCAGGGACACAGCCACGUCUGCCACUCCCUGGGCGCUUUAACAGCAUGGAUCGCUGGAGCAGAGCAGGAGGCAGGACUUGAGCCCAGGCACUCAGGAAUGUGGGCGUCCCAAGGCAGGCCUUAAACCACUGAGCCACAAACCUGGCCCUUUUGUUUCUUUGUAA
This is a long non-coding RNA of Ochotona curzoniae (black-lipped pika), 1636 nucleotides long. RefSeq lists it as uncharacterized. The record is from RefSeq and is a predicted model, not a curated record. The transcript is spliced from 2 exons. NCBI's taxonomy places the organism in Eukaryota, Metazoa, Chordata, Mammalia, Lagomorpha, Ochotonidae.